This 824-nucleotide long non-coding RNA is filed under the name Helianthus annuus (common sunflower). Its description in RNAcentral is "hypothetical non coding rna". Lineage: Eukaryota; Viridiplantae; Streptophyta; Magnoliopsida; Asterales; Asteraceae. The record is from RNAcentral.
UUUCCAUUUGACAGCCGAACCCACUCCCAAAGCCAUACCACCAUGAUGUUCUUGUUGACUCUAAUACUCAAACUAGCAAGUUUAAUACUAUUUUUUCUUUAUAGUUGAACCUUAUUCCUUCUACAUAUCAAUAUACAUCAAAACUCCACCAUACAAAUCACACCCACAUUAACACUUCCAUUCUCGGUCCCAAACGACCCUCCCCAAAACCUCCACAUUUUCAAAGUUCACUCCAAAAUUAAGUCUAAAUUCAUGUCAAGCUCAAGGUUUUCAAGUUCAAAUCUCAAAGUUUAUUUCUCCAAUCCUUCUCCUUGCUUGCUUUUUUGUUGCAUUUUCAAAACUAUGGAACGGUUGGAAUAGGAGAACCCAUUUGAGAUUCGAGUACUUAGUGGCGUUCAUUUUCUAGAAGUCUUAGCUUAUUUUGCUUCCGCUGUGCAAUGAAGAUACCGGUCCAGUCACGCCAAGCUCUGAUAUUUCGGGGUGUGACAGUAGUAACCCUCCUUAAGCUAACCAUACCAUGUAUAAAAGUAUUCGUAAUUACUGUAACAUGUAUUCCACCCCCGAAGUAUAAAAACUGAAAACAGUUAAGAGAAAAGGGGGACAUGAACUCACUGAAGUGCGUGUCGAAAUAGUCCGUCCCAAUCAACCUGCUGCGUGACGACCUACACGUACUAACUUCUAUUAGACGGACGGCCGUGCCUUGGCUUAAGGUUUAAAGUUUUUGGGAAAUAGUUAGUCAACUAUUUCGUAUUUAUACUUGUUAAUUAUUCUAUAAAUAUAUUCCUUCCCAAGGUUGGGGUUAUUAAUACAUGUGUGUUUUUAUA